This 468-nucleotide ribosomal RNA is filed under the name uncultured bacterium. RNAcentral's name for it is "partial 16S ribosomal RNA". It matches the Rfam family "Bacterial small subunit ribosomal RNA", at positions 28 to 507 of the family's 1533-position model. The record is from RNAcentral.
GACGAACGCUGGCGGCGUGCUUAACACAUGCAAGUCGAACGGAAAGGCCCUGCUUUUGUGGGGUGCUCGAGUGGCGAACGGGUGAGUAACACGUGAGUAACCUGCCCUUGACUUUGGGAUAACUUCAGGAAACUGGGGCUAAUACCGGAUAGGAGCUCCUGCUGCAUGGUGGGGGUUGGAAAGUUUCGGCGGUUGGGGAUGGACUCGCGGCUUAUCAGCUUGUUGGUGGGGUAGUGGCUUACCAAGGCUUUGACGGGUAGCCGGCCUGAGAGGGUGACCGGCCACAUUGGGAUUGAGGUACGGCCCAGACUCCUACGGGAGGCAGCAGUGGGGAAUAUUGCACAAUGGGCGGAAGCCUGAUGCAGCAACGCCGCGUGCGGGAUGACGGCCUUCGGGUUGUAAACCGCUUUCGCCUGUGACGAAGCGUGAGUGACGGUAAUGGGUAAAGAAGCACCGGCUAACUACGUG